GACCAAUGAUGUCAAGAUUCUGCCAAAUGAAAUCUCAUGAUUAUACUCUUUACCGUUCCAUUUUGUCUGAGGUC
RNAcentral lists this small nucleolar RNA (74 nucleotides) under Neogobius melanostomus (round goby). RNAcentral's name for it is "Small nucleolar RNA SNORD47 (ENSNMLG00000000026.1)". It matches the Rfam family "Small nucleolar RNA SNORD47". From Rfam's summary of the family: U47 belongs to the C/D class of snoRNA which contain the C (UGAUGA) and D (CUGA) box motifs. Most of the members of the box C/D family function in directing site-specific 2'-O-methylation of substrate RNAs. Lineage: Eukaryota; Metazoa; Chordata; Actinopteri; Gobiiformes; Gobiidae. The record is from Rfam by way of RNAcentral.